This 705-nucleotide ribosomal RNA is filed under the name Pseudacris ornata (ornate chorus frog). Its description in RNAcentral is "partial 16S ribosomal RNA". The stretch from base 1 to 492 matches the Rfam family "Bacterial small subunit ribosomal RNA", at positions 853 to 1533 of the family's 1533-position model. The record is from RNAcentral. Lineage: Eukaryota; Metazoa; Chordata; Amphibia; Anura; Hylidae.
UUUAUCUACACCCGUAUCGCCAGGGAACUACGAGCCAAGCUUAAAACCCAAAGGACUUGACGGUACCCCACAUCCACCUAGAGGAGCCUGUCCUGCAAUCGAUAAUCCCCGCUUAACCUCACCAUUUUUAGCCUAUCAACCUGUAUACCUCCGUCGUCAGCUUACCUCGUGAGCGAACUCCAGUGAGCUUAAUGUCUUAAACAAAACACGUCAAUACGUCAGGUCAAGGUGCAGUUAAUAAAAUGGAAUUAGAUGGGCUACACUCUCUAACAUAGAGAACACGAAAAACUAUUUAUGAAACCUAGUUAGAAGGCGGAUUUAGUAGUAAAAAGAAAUCAGAGAGUUCUUUUUAACAUGGCACUGGGGUGCGUACACACCGCCCGUCACCCUCUUCAAAGCUAAAUAAUAGUAUUUAACAUAUAACAGCAAACCAGAAGAGGCAAGUCGUAACAUGGUAAGUAUACCGGAAGGUGUGCUUGGAAACAAAAUGUAGCUUAAACAAAGCAUCUUGCUUACACCAAGAAAAUACCUGUGAGACCCAGAUCAUUUUGAGCCAAAAACUUAGCCCCACCUUAUCCUAUGAACUACUUAAAACUAGUCCUAAGAACCAAAACAUUUUUUUGCUUUAGUAAAGGAGAUUGAAAAACCAAAAGGAGCUAUACUAAAAGUACCGUAAGGGAAAAGUGAAAUAAAAGUGAAAUAAAU